GUAGUCUGUGAUGAUGAAGUUCCUACUUGGCCUGAACUGUUUUUGGAAUGUGAGGGCAACUUAAGUCACUACCUCUUCUGAGACAC
Molecule: small nucleolar RNA, 86 nt
Filed under: Gavia stellata (red-throated loon)
Lineage: Eukaryota; Metazoa; Chordata; Aves; Gaviiformes; Gaviidae
Description: Small nucleolar RNA SNORD11
Rfam family: Small nucleolar RNA SNORD11
Source: Rfam by way of RNAcentral